GAGUUGGAGGCCAGUGGAGCAUUCCAUCUACUCCCCUCCCCCUCUCUAUAUUCACUGAGGACAUUCCUCCCUUCACCUGCCCCUCUGCUCAGCAGUCCAAUGGAAGUACUUCAUCUCUUUUGGGGGGUUCAAAAAUCAUUUGAUGUUGAUAAUGAAAGGAAGGAAGGAAGGAAGGAAGAAAAGAAAAGGAAGCAAAGAAAAUGCCCAUCAAUUUGGAAAUGGCUAUGCAAAUUGUGGUACAUGAAUGUAAAGAAAUGGAAUGAGAGCCAGGAGGAGACUGAUAUGAAGUGAUGCAGUGAAUUUUCAGGGCUAUAAAAACUUAGGACUUCCUAAUGUCACAUUCACUCAAGGGGUCAGUGUGGAGAUUGUUUACUACUCUUUUUGUUCCAUCAUGCUCAAUGUUUUUGAUCCCAUGGACUAUGGCUAUCCAUGAAGAUUUUUUUGGCAAGGAUAUUGCAGUGAUUUACCAUUUCCUUCUCCAGUGGAUCCAGUGGAACCUUUUUCCAGGUCUCCAAAGGCAUAUCUGGAAUUGGAGAUACAUAACAAGUUGCGGAGCUGCAUCAAUUUAAAGUUUUCCCUCUCACUCCUGAAAUUUGAACUAUACUUCCAGGACCUUUCCUCAUCCUUCUCCCAACAUUCCAUUGCAACAAUUGCUUCUGAAUGGGGCAAUAUGAAGGAGAGAGAGCAUCCUUUUCUCAUCCUGGAGUGGAACACAGAUUAGGGAAACUUAAAUGUAUAUUUCAAGACAAAAAAUAAAUUGAACCAACAACAGAUGAAACA
RNAcentral lists this long non-coding RNA (780 nucleotides) under Monodelphis domestica (gray short-tailed opossum). RNAcentral describes it as "lncRNA (ENSMODG00000047913.1)". Lineage: Eukaryota; Metazoa; Chordata; Mammalia; Didelphimorphia; Didelphidae. The record is from RNAcentral.